CCUACGGGAGGCAGCAGUAGGGAAUAUUGCUCAAUGGGGGAAACCCUGAAGCAGCAACGCCGCGUGGAGGAUGAAGGUUUUCGGAUUGUAAACUCCUUUUGUUAGAGAAGAUAAUGACGGUAUCUAACGAAUAAGCACCGGCUAACUCCGUGCCAGCAGCCGCGGUAAUACGGAGGGUGCAAGCGUUACUCGGAAUCACUGGGCGUAAAGGGCGCGUAGGCGGGAUAGCAAGUCAGAUGUGAAAUCCUAUGGCUUAACCAUAGAAUUGCAUUUGAAACUGUUAUUCUAGAGUAUGGGAGAGGUAGGUGGAAUUCUUGGUGUAGGGGUAAAAUCCGUAGAGAUAAAGAGGAAUACUCAUUGCGAAGGCGACCUGCUAGAACAUAACUGACGCUGAUGCGCGAAAGCGUGGGGAGCAAACAGGAUUAGAUACCCGGGUAGUC
This 440-nucleotide ribosomal RNA is filed under the name uncultured bacterium. Its description in RNAcentral is "partial 16S ribosomal RNA". It matches the Rfam family "Bacterial small subunit ribosomal RNA", at positions 338 to 795 of the family's 1533-position model. The record is from RNAcentral.